GACGAACGCUGGCGGCGUGCUUAACACAUGCAAGUCGAACGGAAAGGCCCCUUUGGGGGUAUUCGAGUGGCGAACGGGUGAGUAACACGUGAGUAACCUGCCCUUGACUUCGGGAUAACUUCAGGAAACUGGGGCUAAUACCGGAUAGGAAUCCUUGCUGCAUGGUGGGGGUUGGAAAGCUUCGGCGGUUUUGGAUGGACUCGCGGCUUAUCAGCUUGUUGGUGGGGUAGUGGCUUACCAAGGCUUUGACGGGUAGCCGGCCUGAGGGGGCGACCGGCCACAUUGGGACUGAGAUACGGCCCAGACUCCUACGGGAGGCAGCAGUGGGGAAUAUUGCACAAUGGGCGGAAGCCUGAUGCAGCAACGCCGCGUGCGGGAUGACGGCCUUCGGGUUGUAAACCGCUUUCAGCAGGGGCGAAGCUUGUGGUGACGGUACCUGCAGAAGAAGCACCGGCUAACUACGUG
RNAcentral lists this ribosomal RNA (465 nucleotides) under uncultured bacterium. RNAcentral describes it as "partial 16S ribosomal RNA". It matches the Rfam family "Bacterial small subunit ribosomal RNA", at positions 28 to 507 of the family's 1533-position model. The record is from RNAcentral.